GACGAACGCUGGCGGCGUGCUUAACACAUGCAAGUCGAACGGAAAGGCCCUGCUUUUGUGGGGUGCUCGAGUGGCGAACGGGUGAGUAACACGUGAGUAACCUGCCCUUGACUUUGGGAUAACUUCAGGAAACUGGGGCUAAUACCGGAUAGGAGCUCCUGCUGCUUGUUGGGGGUUGGAAAGUUUCGGCGGUUGGGGAUGGACUCGCGGCUUAUCAGCUUGUUGGUGGGGUAGUGGCUUACCAAGGCUUUGACGGGUAGCCGGCCUGAGAGGGUGACCGGCCACAUUGGGACUGAGAUACGGCCCAGACUCCUACGGGAGGCAGCAGUGGGGAAUAUUGCACAAUGGGCGGAAGCCUGAUGCAGCAACGCCGCGUGCGGGAUGACGGCCUUCGGGUUGUAAACCGCUUUCGCCUGUGACGAAGCGUGAGUGACGGUAAUGGGUAAAGAAGCACCGGCUAACUACGUG
This 468-nucleotide ribosomal RNA is filed under the name uncultured bacterium. RNAcentral describes it as "partial 16S ribosomal RNA". It matches the Rfam family "Bacterial small subunit ribosomal RNA", at positions 28 to 507 of the family's 1533-position model. The record is from RNAcentral.